RNAcentral lists this ribosomal RNA (358 nucleotides) under uncultured bacterium. RNAcentral describes it as "partial 16S ribosomal RNA". It matches the Rfam family "Bacterial small subunit ribosomal RNA", at positions 338 to 693 of the family's 1533-position model. The record is from RNAcentral.
CCUACGGGUGGCAGCAGUGAGGAAUAUUGGUCAAUGGGCGUAAGCCUGAACCAGCCAAGUCGCGUGAGGGAUGAAGGUUCUAUGGAUCGUAAACCUCUUUUAUAAGGGAAUAAAGUGCGGGACGUGUCCCGUUUUGUAUGUACCUUAUGAAUAAGGAUCGGCUAACUCCGUGCCAGCAGCCGCGGUAAUACGGAGGAUCCGAGCGUUAUCCGGAUUGAUUGGGUUUAAAGGGUGCGUAGGCGGCCUUUUAAGUCAGCGGUGAAAGUCUGUGGCUCAACCAUAGAAUUGCCGUUGAAACUGGGAGGCUUGAUGAUGUUUGAGGCAGGCGGAAUGCGUGGGGUAGCGGGGAAAUGCUUAG